Long non-coding RNA from Triticum urartu, 4643 nucleotides. RefSeq lists it as uncharacterized. Lineage: Eukaryota; Viridiplantae; Streptophyta; Magnoliopsida; Poales; Poaceae. The record is from RefSeq and is a predicted model, not a curated record.
UGUCGCCUAUGUCGAGGAACUCUGACGCCUGUAAGCCGAAACCAAUCCGUCACACUGUCCCCGUUUUCUCGUCUCCUCCGUCUUCCUCCUCAUGGUUUCCCCCCUAUCAACUCCCUCCCUCGUAUUCUGCACCAACUCCCCUGCGCGAUCUCCUCCUUCUCGCGCGCCACUGAUCCAGCCUCCUCGGAAGCGGACGGUGUCUGCCUGCGUCCCCAACCGUCUCAGGUACCGCAGGCAUCGAGCACGGCGUGCACCGACGCUGUUCGACACUAAAAAGAAACGGAUGGAGUACUGUUGAGGAACCAGAAAGCUUCAUUGGUUGAAUCAAUUCAUAAUAUGGCACCUUUAUCUUCUGCUAAAUGCCGUGAUGCUAGAAGAUUUAUUGUUGGCGACCUCUGUAUGUUGCUCUACAUGUUUGUAUGAAUGGGUUUGUACAUCUGUUCAUGUUACAAGCCUACACCGCUACAAGGCAGCAUUAUAAGAAGUAAACAACAGACGACAUGAGAUAUGAGAGUUUCUUAAAUUAUUACCUUAUUUUUGUCAUGGCAUUGCUAUGUGCGGAGAGGUCUUCUUGCCGUCUUGGUUGGGAAAAGCUGGCAUCGGGUUAGAUAUUCCUCUCUGUCUGGUAACAUAUACUCUCACAUGCAACCCUUAUUCUUAUCAUUCUGUACACAGAACGUGAUCAGAAUGACUGUGCUCAUCAUCAUUUUGAUGCAAUGCCGGUCAAAAGUAUAGUCUCAUGUAGCACCAUGAUUGCUGGGUACUCGUAGUGGAGAGGAUAUGCAAGUUCUGGUGCUUUUUUCUGUGAUGCACCAACAAGGGGUGCACAUGAGUGAGUUUACCUUUAGCAGCACUCUAUGUGCAUGUCCUGGAAAAUAUGCUUUGUGUAAAUGCAAGCAGUUACACGGCGUGGCCAUCAAGUUUGCACUGGACUCUAGUAGUUCUGUCAGAACUGUAGUUCGUGAUGUUUAUGCAAAGCUUGAUACGAUUUAAGAAUGCAAGCCGGAUUUGUGAAAAGAUGCCACAGAGAGUCACAGUUAGAGCUCGUUGCUUGCAGGGUAUGUGCAUGAUGCUCUUCAGAUAGCACAAAGGGAGGGGGGGGGGGGGGGGGGGGGGGGGGGGGGAGGUGUGCAAUGGUCGCUGGUUUUUCUAGGAAUGCUCGCUCUUCAGGAGUUAAGAUUAUUUUCAAGGAAAUGCAGCGGUUAAGGGUUUCUCUGAAUGAAGGGGUGAGGUACCCGUUUACCUGUAGUGUCAGUAUGCAGUCAUGCAGGCUUAUUUGGAGAGGCCCAUCACUACUUAAGAUUGCUAAUGAGUAAUGACUGAUCAUUCGGUUGAACCUGGCUAAUAUCCUUCUCUAUUUUUGAAAGGUUGAUGUUUCUGGACGAGCUAGGAGGAUUGACAAGGCCUGGGAUUUGGUUCCAGUAACGGUGUUUGAACCUGCUGCUUCUAUGUGAGGAUAUUUGCCAGGGUAAUGUAGGAGCUACAGGAGAAUAAGAUUAGCCAGAAUAGAGACUGAGCAGUUUUUCCAACUUGGACCUGACAAGGGUGGAAACCAUGUUUGACAUUCAGAUAUGUAUGCUGCCAGUCCAAAGUGGGAUAUUAUCUUGACGACAGAGACAGAGCACCCUCUAUAAUAAGUUAAAGGUAAUUUACCGUGAGAUGAGAAGAUCUCUUCACAGGACCAGCUAAUACACAAUGUGACCUUCAUGUAUGUGCAUGACUACUCGAAGGGGGAGGCUGGAGCUGCUUAAACACUUAAAUAUCUGUAGAUUCAACCAUUUUAAGGAUGGUUCAUGUUCUUGUGGGGACUUCUGGGGAUUGAGAACCGAAUGAGACCAAUCAUCUCCAAGUGGUGCUCCCAUCAUGUAGCAAAUUAUUGUCCUGUGAGUAGUGGAUCUGCUGCUUUAAAGAUCCAUGUCGACUUAUAUUGUGAGAUUGGCCAUUCAAGUCAAUAAUGUCAUGCUGCCGACCCCAUUUGGUGUAAUAUCAGCAGUAUCAUCUGAACUGUGCACAGCAAAUGGUAGCCCAGAUGUGGGUCCUUGAUCAUCUGAACAGACUGAGUGACCUACAAGCUCUUAUCUUGUACAGUAGUUGCGCCAUACAUCAUAAGACAAUACCUCUUACAUGUGCAGGAUUUAUUCAUGUAGAAAUAUGCUGGAAGUGGAUCUGGGUGUCUCAGGAAGUGAUUCGCUGCACUAUUGUCUAUGGGCGUGCUGCAGUAGAUAACUGCAGCGAUUGAUACACAUCUUGGUUCGCUCCCUUGUGAUUUCACCAUCCUCAUUGUUGUUUCCGAUCAAAGAAUGAUGAGCUAUGGAAAGUGUACUGACCAGUUGCUGGGAACUGGAGACACGGCGGCGUAGGGGCUCUGGUGCACGUAGCCGUACAUCGCCGGCGUCGCGGGCACGGCUUCUGCCUCUGGCUCUGGCCCGCAGUCGAGGUUCACGCCGAACAGCCUGAGCCGGCGUGUCGGUGCCGAGGCUGGGCUGCAGCUCCUGGUGUCUGCGUCCCACUGGGAUUCUCCUGCGAUUGUUCAUUCACCAGAAAUGGCGUUAGAGCGUUCAUGGUGAUGGUGCUUCAAGUUCCCAAACGCCGGGAUGAGAACUGGACCUGCACAGAGAUCGUGCACCCUUCUCCAGUUUCCAACGGAUUGUGAAUCAGGUUUGGUUUCUCCAUGCACAUGAAUGAGUUGGUAUCCCAUGGAAUUGAAUACAAGAUAACUCAAGAUAAGGGGACACAUGCUAAUGCUCCUAGUUUAGUUAUCCCUGUGGUCUCAGCUCCUUUCCAAGAGGCGAUGCAUGUUUUGCCAAGUUCAUGCAGAUGUGGGAGUAGGCGCCUUGAGUGCGGCAUGUUACUCCCCCCUAUUCACAAAUAUAUACAUGCCACCAUGGGAAGUGUGCAAUUAAGCAUUGCCAAUCUUGGACCUUUUAAUAUUGCAAAACCAAAGGGUAUCUAGAUGCCUUCAUUUGAAAUGAUAAUUGCCCCUUAUGGGGUUAACGUUCGGAUGGAAAAUAUAUUCAUAAAAAGAAACCCAGCAUCCUAGCUGUUUGCUGACAUAUCAUUACCUCUUGGAGACUGAGGCUAUGUUAAAAGGCUAAGAUGUCAUGUCAACCUAAUAUGUAGAGCAUUAUGAUUGCAUUAGCUUAAGAGCCAUGAACCUAUGGUUUCUUGCAUCUAACACUUUGUGGUGAUGGGCUGGCGAGCAUCUACAGUGUGCUUCUGUUUUAUCUAGCACUGCCGCCUAUUUAUAUCCUUGUUUUAAGCAGCCGCCUGUUUACAUUGAAAACUCAUUUCAAGAUUCCACUGCAUGGUUCCCAUGGUUUGGACUUUGGAGUGAUAAAACCCUCCAAAAUUAGUUGAGCUCGUUUUGUCAUGGAUACUUUUGUGUUUUUAUAGAGAGAAUCACGAAUCACAAUUGUUUACCCUUGUUCAAUUCAUUUUAUUAUAAGAUGUGAGCAUUCGUGUAUUGGGACCAUGGUGCGCACAGCUGCUUCUACCACCAUUCUGCAUUCAUUGCCCGUCUGUGCGUGCCUCCUAAAUUUCUGUCCCAGGAAGUGGUGCGAGUGUGUGCAGCUGCCUGACCCCUGACUGAACUGAAUCUGCGUCCGCUGCAGCGAUCUUUUGAGCAGAUCUUCGUGGUGCGGUGGGAUUGGGAACACGCAAGGGUGAGGUGAGGUCCAGACCAGCAGACGAUCUAAACAGGGCUGGACUCUCUCCUUGCGCACUGAAAGAGUGACGUGAUGGCGAAGAAGGUGACGGAUGAGAGAAGGAAAAAUGUUUCGUUUUCAGAUGCCUUUAAUUUCCCCUUGCGGAGCCAACAUGCUGUCACAAGGUUGUCGAUAUCGGUAUCGGGGUACUGGCUAGAUCAUUUCGGAAUUGUAUGAUCGUAUCUGCAACGUACUGUUGAAUCAUAUCAGUAUCGGCAGCGUAGGGUUGUAUUAUUAUUCAGAAGAUGGUCUGGUAGAAUCAUACUGGUAUCGUAUAAAAUACUACUAAGAUACGUAUCCUCCAGUCCAGUCAGCAGGGACGAGGAGAAAGAAGACACAGAGAGAGCUAAGAGCAGUGGAUCAAAAGCAUCUGGGUCUCUUCCCUUUGUUCAUCCUCUAAGAAAAGGUGGCUAGGUUUCUGCCUUCCGUCGGCGGCGCCGCUGAUCUCCCACGUCUUCUGUGGCUUUAGGGUCAUAUGUGCACGGUGGAUCCCGGUCCUUGUCGGUGGGAGGGCUCUGUUUUCAGAUGCUUCUUCAAGUUUUUUGUUAGAGUUUGUGUUCUGCUUAAGAAGACUCAAGAAGACGAGAUGGCGGCGGCUUCUUGAAGAUGAAAUAAGGUUCUCCCCGCCUAGCCUCUGUCCCAAUGGUGUGUCUAGCAUUGUCGGUGGACGUGUGGAGGUGUGUCUCUGGUGGAUCUCGCGAGAUUUGGUCGGUGGUAGUCUUUGGUGGAUCCGCUCGGAUGCAGUCUUUGUUCAUGUGUCUUCAGGUUGGAUCCUUACUAUCUAAAAUUCUCUUCAUGGGGGGCGGUUGCUGUUCUGAGGCCUUAUCACAACGAUUUCCCGACUGUCUACUACAACAAGCUGUGCCCGGCUCCGGUGAGGAAGGGGCGAUGACGGCGGCACGCCUUCGGCUCGCUUCAGUGCUUGUAGUCGUCGCUAGG